UUUUUGUAGAGACAGGUCUCGCUAUGUUGCACUAGCUGGUCUCAAACUUCUGGACUCAAGCGAUCCACCUGCCUCAGCCUCUUAAGUGCUGGGAUUACACACUUUUCAAGCAUUUUCUCUGUACAAUAUUUUGUAAAAAUUGAGAAUAAGGAAAGACAUUGCCCCUUUAAGCAAGGUGGUAAGACAACAUAUAAAAAGUACUCAAUCCACAAUAGUGAGUGCUUCCAUUAAUUACAUUCUAAAGUUUUUUUGUUUAAAAUAAAUUGGGGGAGUACAUUAUGCUCUUCAAGAUAAUGAACGGAGAAAAAUGUCCAAUGAUUGCUAGCCAUCCCGAUAAUGUAUUUACUCUAUGUUGUGUUAUUUUGUUUUUGCAGUAGGACGCAAGUGAUCAGAAAGGAAAUCACAUAGUCAGUGACCAGCUGAGACUGAGUACGGACAGGGGAAGAAGCUAACUUAGACCUAAAGGGACCUGGGGUCAGGAGACAUUUCUAGAUAAGCCCCUCAGCCAGAAAACAUCAACCCAUGACUUCCAAUACCAAUGCUGAAGAGGCCACAGAGGAGAGAGAAUCUUGAAAACAUUUCUAAUAUCUGAAAGUUCUUGUAUUAAAAGAAGUGGAAAGUUUCUUGAUAUGUGUAUGAAGGCCAAGAUUGAGAUAGUGGUACUGAGGGUGGGAUAAUACCACAUUGAGGCUGGGAGUUUUACUUCUUUUAAAUCUUUCUGUAGGUAUAUCUCUGUGGAUUCCUACCACUUCUAAACCAUAGUUACAAGGCCA
RNAcentral lists this long non-coding RNA (773 nucleotides) under Homo sapiens (human). RNAcentral's name for it is "HSALNT0338508". The record is from RNAcentral. Lineage: Eukaryota; Metazoa; Chordata; Mammalia; Primates; Hominidae.